AUUGUGCCAGCGGCCGCGGUAAUACGUAGGGUGCGAGCGUUAAUCGGAAUUACUGGGCGUAAAGGGUGCGCAGGCGGUUUUGUAAGUCAGAUGUGAAAUCCCCGGGCUUAACCUGGGAAUUGCGUUUGAAACUACAAAACUAGAGUGUAGCAGAGGGAGGUGGAAUUCCAUGUGUAGCAGUGAAAUGCGUAGAGAUAUGGAAGAACAUCGAUGGCGAAGGCAGCCUCCUGGGUUAACACUGACGCUCAUGCACGAAAGCGUGGGGAGCAAACAGGAUUAGAUACCCUGGUAGUCCACGCCCUAAACGAUGGGGACUAGGUGCUUGGGGGAGCGACCCCCCGAGUGCCGGCGCUAACGCAUUAAGUCCCCCGCCUGGGGAGUACGGCCGCAAGGCUGAAACUCAAAGGAAUUGACGGGGGCCCGCACAAGCGGAGGAGCAUGUGGUUUAAUUCGAUGAUACGCGAGGAACCUUACCUGGGCUAGAACGUAGAGAGACUAUAGGAGAAACCUUAUAUCCCUUCGGGGCUGUCUACGAGGUGCUGCAUGGUUGUCGUCAGCUCGUGCCGUGAGGUGUCGGGUUAAGUCCCAUAACGAGCGCAACCCCUAUCUUUAGUUGCCAACAGGUCAAGCUGGGGACUCUAAAGAAACUGCCUACGCAAGUAGUGAGGAAGGCGGGGAUGACGUCAAAUCAGCACGGCCCUUACGUCCAGGGCUACACACGUGCUACAAUGGCCGAUACAGAGGGCAGCUACCUGGUGACAGGAUGCAAAUCUCCAAAGUCGGUCUCAGUUCGGAUCGGAGUCUGCAACCCGACUCCGUGAAGUUGGAUUCGCUAGUAAUCGCGCAUCAGCCAUGGCGCGGUGAAUACGUUCCCGGGCCUUGUACACACCGCCCGUCAAGCCAUGGAAGUUGGGGGGACCUAAAGUCGAUAACCGCAAGGAGUCGCCUAGGGUAAAACCAAUGACUGGGGCUAAGUCGUAACAAGGUAACCAAU
RNAcentral lists this ribosomal RNA (994 nucleotides) under uncultured bacterium. Its description in RNAcentral is "bacterial SSU rRNA". It matches the Rfam family "Bacterial small subunit ribosomal RNA", at positions 502 to 1504 of the family's 1533-position model. The record is from RNAcentral.